AAAUUGAAGAGUUUGAUCAUGGCUCAGAUUGAACGCUGGCGGCAGGCCUAACACAUGCAAGUCGAACGGUAACAGGAAACAGCUUGCUGUUUCGCUGACGAGUGGCGGACGGGUGAGUAAUGUCUGGGAAACUGCCUGAUGGAGGGGGAUAACUACUGGAAACGGUAGCUAAUACCGCAUAAUGUCGCAAGACCAAAGAGGGGGACCUUCGGGCCUCUUGCCAUCGGAUGUGCCCAGAUGGGAUUAGCUAGUAGGUGGGGUAACGGCUCACCUAGGCGACGAUCCCUAGCUGGUCUGAGAGGAUGACCAGCCACACUGGAACUGAGACACGGUCCAGACUCCUACGGGAGGCAGCAGUGGGGAAUAUUGCACAAUGGGCGCAAGCCUGAUGCAGCCAUGCCGCGUGUAUGAAGAAGGCCUU
This 421-nucleotide ribosomal RNA is filed under the name Escherichia coli. Its description in RNAcentral is "bacterial SSU rRNA". It matches the Rfam family "Bacterial small subunit ribosomal RNA", at positions 1 to 418 of the family's 1533-position model. The record is from RNAcentral. Lineage: Bacteria; Pseudomonadati; Pseudomonadota; Gammaproteobacteria; Enterobacterales; Enterobacteriaceae.